RNAcentral lists this ribosomal RNA (301 nucleotides) under uncultured bacterium. RNAcentral describes it as "partial 16S ribosomal RNA". It matches the Rfam family "Bacterial small subunit ribosomal RNA", at positions 509 to 807 of the family's 1533-position model. The record is from RNAcentral.
CAGUCGCCACGGGAAUACGGAGGGGGCUAGCGUUGUUCGGAAUUACUGGGCGUAAAGCGCACGUAGGCGGCUUUGUAAGUUAGAGGUGAAAGCCCGGAGCUCAACUCCGGAAUUGCCUUUAAGACUGCAGAGCUAGCAGGUGAGAGAGGUGAGUGGAAUUCCGAGUGUAGAGGUGAAAUUCGUAGAUAUUCGGAAGAACACCAGUGGCGAAGGCGGCUUACUGGCUCAUACUGGACGCUGAGGUGCGAAAGCGUGGGGAGCAAACAGGAUUAGAUACCCGCGUAGUCCCUGUCUCUUAUAC